UACGUAGGGUGCGAGCGUUAAUCGGAAUUACUGGGCGUAAAGCGUGCGCAGGCGGUUUUUCAAGUCUGAUGUGAAAGCCCCGGGCUUAACCUGGGAACUGCGUUGGAAACUGAAAGACUAGAGUGCGGCAGAGGGGGGUAGAAUUCCACGUGUAGCAGUGAAAUGCGUAGAUAUGUGGAGGAAUACCGAUGGCGAAGGCGGCUCUCUGGCCUGCACCUGACGCUGAGGCGCGAAAGCGUGGGGAGCAAACAGG
This 253-nucleotide ribosomal RNA is filed under the name uncultured bacterium. Its description in RNAcentral is "partial 16S ribosomal RNA". It matches the Rfam family "Bacterial small subunit ribosomal RNA", at positions 524 to 776 of the family's 1533-position model. The record is from RNAcentral.